AGAGUUUGAUCCUGGCUCAGAGCGAACGCUGGCGGCAUGCUUAACACAUGCAAGUCGCACGGGCACUUCGGUGUCAGUGGCGGACGGGUGAGUAACGCGUAGGUAUCUAUCCUUGGGUGGGGGACAACUGUGGGAAACUACAGCUAAUACCGCAUAAUAACUGAGGUUUAAAGGCGCAAGUCGCCUGGGGAGGAGCCUGCGUACGAUUAGCUAGUUGGUGGGGUAAAGGCCUACCAAGGCGACGAUCGUUAGCUGGUCUGAGAGGAUGAUCAGCCACAUUGGGACUGAGACACGGCCCAAACUCCUACGGGAGGCAGCAGUGGGGAAUAUUGGACAAUGGGCGAAAGCCUGAUCCAGCAAUGCCGCGUGUGUGAAGAAGGUCUUCGGAUUGUAAAGCACUU
This 401-nucleotide ribosomal RNA is filed under the name uncultured bacterium. Its description in RNAcentral is "bacterial SSU rRNA". It matches the Rfam family "Bacterial small subunit ribosomal RNA", at positions 8 to 435 of the family's 1533-position model. The record is from RNAcentral.